This 254-nucleotide ribosomal RNA is filed under the name uncultured bacterium. RNAcentral describes it as "partial 16S ribosomal RNA". It matches the Rfam family "Bacterial small subunit ribosomal RNA", at positions 524 to 776 of the family's 1533-position model. The record is from RNAcentral.
UACGUAGGGUGCGAGCGUUGUCCGGAAUUAUUGGGCGUAAAGAGCUCGUAGGCGGUGCGUCACGUCGGCCGUGAAAACCUGCAGCUUAACUGUGGGCGUGCGGUCGAUACGGGCAUCACUGGAGUUCGGCAGGGGAGACUGGAAUUCCUGGUGUAGCGGUGAAAUGCGCAGAUAUCAGGAGGAACACCGGUGGCGAAGGCAGGUCUCUGGGCCAUUACUGACACUGAGAAGCGAAAGCAUGGGGAGCGAACAGG